AUUGAACGCUGGCGGAAUGCUUUACACAUGCAAGUCGAACGGUAGAGGGGGCAACCCCUCGAGAGUGGCGAACGGGUGAGUAAUAUAUCGGAACGUGCCCAGUCGUGAGGAUAACGUAGCGAAAGUUACGCUAAUACCGCAUACGGUCUAAGGAUGAAAGCGGGGGAUCGCAAGACCUCGCGCGAUUGGAGCGGCCGAUAUCAGAUUAGGUAGUUGGUGGGGUAAAGGCUCACCAAGCCAACGAUCUGUAGCUGGUCUGAGAGGACGACCAGCCACACUGGAACUGAGACACGGUCAAGACUCCUACGGGAGGCAGCAGUGGGGAAUUUUGGACAAUGGACGCAAGUCUGAUCCAGCCAUUCCGCGUGCAGGAUGAAGGCCCUCGGGUUGUAAACUGCUUUUGUACGGAACGAAAAGGUCUCUCUUAAUACGGUGGGCUCAUGACGGUACCGUAAGAAUAAGCACCGGCUAACUACGUGCCAGCCGCCGCAGUAA
RNAcentral lists this ribosomal RNA (495 nucleotides) under uncultured bacterium. RNAcentral describes it as "partial 16S ribosomal RNA". It matches the Rfam family "Bacterial small subunit ribosomal RNA", at positions 30 to 523 of the family's 1533-position model. The record is from RNAcentral.